GAGAAGGGCAUCUGGUGAAUGCCUUGGCGUAUAGAGGCGAUGAAAGACGUGACACCCUGCGAUAAGCAUCGGGGAGCCGGGAGUAGGCUUUGAUCCGAUGAUUUCUGAAUGGGGCAACCCAAUCCUUUAGGAUUAUCCGUAACUGAAUACAUAGGUUACGGAGGCAAACCAAGCGAACUGAAACAUCUAAGUAGCUUGAGGAAAAUAAAUCAACCGAGAUUCCCCUAGUAGCGGCGAGCGAACGGGGACCAGCCCAGUGAUAUAUUGGUAAGAAGACGAAUGCUCUGGAAAGUGCAGCCAUAGUAGGUGAUAGCCCUGUAGUCGUAGAAAUCCUUUAUAUCCUUGAGUAAGGCGGAACACGUGAAAUUCUGUCUGAACAUGGGGGGACCACCCUCCAAGGCUAAAUACUCCUAUACGACCGAUAGUGUACCAGUACCGUGAGGGAAAGGUGAAAAGCACCCCGAUAAGGGGAGUGAAACAGAACCUGAAACCGGAUGCCUACAAGCAGUCGGAGCAGUCUUGAACUGUGACGGCGUACCUUUUGUAUAAUGGGUCAGCGAGUUAAUUUAUCGAGCAAGCCUAAGCCGAUAGGCGUAAGCGCAGCGAAAGCGAGUCUGAAUAGGGCGAGUGAGUUCGAUGGAUUAGACCCGAAACCAGGUGAUCUAGGCAUGAGCAGGUUGAAGGUGCGGUAACACGCACUGGAGGACCGAACCCACGUCUGUUGAAAAAGACGGGGAUGACUUGUGCCUAGGGGUGAAAGGCCAAUCAAACCUGGAGAUAGCUGGUUCUCCGCGAAAUCUAUUUAGGUAGAGCGUCAGAUGAAUACCCUCGGGGGUAGAGCACUGGAUCGGGACGGGGGGCGCGAGCCUUACCAACUCGAACCAAACUCCGAAUACCGAGGAGUACUAUCUGGCAGACACACUGCGGGUGCUAAGGUCCGUAGUGGAAAGGGAAACAGCCCAGACCACCAGCUAAGGUCCCUAAAUCACGUGCUAAGUGGGAAAGGAUGUGGGAAGGCCAAAACAACCAGGAGGUUGGCUUAGAAGCAGCCACCCUUUAAAGAAAGCGUAACAGCUCACUGGUCUAAUUAAGCCGUCCUGCGCCGAAGAUGUACCGGGGCUCAAGCCGUGUACCGAAGCUGUGGAUUUGUCCUUUAGGACAAGUGGUAGCGGAGCGAUCUGUAAGCCUGCGAAGGUGUUGUGUGAGCAAUGCUGGAGGUAUCAGAUGUGAGAAUGCUGACAUGAGUAGCGAUAAACAGAGUGAGAAACUCUGUCGCCGAAAGCCCAAGGGUUCCUGCGCAAGGCUAAUCCGCGCAGGGUGAGUCGGCCCCUAAGACGAGGACGAAAGUCGUAGUUGAUGGGAAUCAGGUUAAUAUUCCUGAACCUGGGAGUAGUGACGAAUGCCGGAAUUUGUACGUCCUUAUUGGAUUGAACGUGCAACCAGGGUGUUCCAGGAAAUAACUCUCCCGUAUAGACCGUACCCCAAACCGACACAGGUGGGCAGGUAGAGAAUACCAAGGCGCUUGAGAGAAUGGUGUUGAAGGAACUCGGCAAAAUUCACCCGUAACUUCGGGAUAAGGGUGACCUGUAUUUGCGCAAGCAGAUAUGGGUGUCACAAAAUUGGGGGUGGCGACUGUUUACUAAAAACACAGGGCUCUGCGAAGUCGCAAGACGACGUAUAGGGUCUGACGCCUGCCCGGUGCCGGAAGGUUAAAAGGAGUGGUGCAAGCCAUGAAUUGAAGCCCCGGUAAACGGCGGCCGUAACUAUAACGGUCCUAAGGUAGCGAAAUUCCUUGUCGGGUAAGUUCCGACCUGCACGAAUGGCGUAACGACUUCCCCGCUGUCUCCAACACCAACUCAGCGAAAUUGAACUCUCCGUGAAGAUGCGGAGUUCCUGCGGUUAGACGGAAAGACCCCGUGCACCUUUACUAUAGCUUCGCAGUGGCAUUAGUAACUAAAUGUGUAGAAUAGGUGGGAGGCUUUGAAGCAGAGACGCCAGUCGCUGUGGAGCCACCUUUGAAAUACCACCCUUUUAGUUAUUGAUGUCUAACCGCGGUCCGUGAAACCGGAUCCGGGACCCUGCGUGGUGGGUAGUUUGACUGGGGCGGUCGCCUCCUAAAGCGUAACGGAGGCGCACGAUGGUAAGCUCAGGCUGGUCGGAAAUCAGCUUUUAGAGUGCAAUGGCAUAAGCUUGCCUGACUGUGAGUCUGACAAGACGAACAGAGACGAAAGUCGGUCAUAGUGAUCCGGUGACUCCUCGUGGAAGGGUCAUCGCUCAACGGAUAAAAGGUACGCCGGGGAUAACAGGCUGAUACUACCCAAGAGUUCACAUCGACGGUAGUGUUUGGCACCUCGAUGUCGGCUCAUCACAUCCUGGGGCUGGAGCAGGUCCCAAGGGUUUGGCUGUUCGCCAAUUAAAGUGGUACGUGAGCUGGGUUUAGAACGUCGUGAGACAGUUCGGUCCCUAUCUGCCGUAGGUGGAGGAUACUUGACAGGAUUUGCCCCUAGUACGAGAGGACCGGGGUGAACGAACCUCUGGUGUACCAGUUGUUCCGCCAGGAGCAUCGCUGGGUAGCUAAGUUCGGACAGGAUAACCGCUGAAAGCAUCUAAGCGGGAAACCCACCUGGAAACUAGGUAUCCCUGAGAAUCGUGGAAGACGACCACGUUGAUAGGUCAGGUGUGGAAGUGUGGCAACACAUGAAGCUAACUGAUACUAAUCAUUCGAUAGGCUUGAU
RNAcentral lists this ribosomal RNA (2735 nucleotides) under Terasakiella brassicae. RNAcentral describes it as "23S ribosomal RNA". It matches the Rfam family "Bacterial large subunit ribosomal RNA". The record is from RNAcentral. Lineage: Bacteria; Pseudomonadati; Pseudomonadota; Alphaproteobacteria; Rhodospirillales; Terasakiellaceae.